This 466-nucleotide ribosomal RNA is filed under the name bacterium enrichment culture clone ALO1_GLFRUDD03GNPNO. RNAcentral's name for it is "bacterial SSU rRNA". It matches the Rfam family "Bacterial small subunit ribosomal RNA", at positions 9 to 521 of the family's 1533-position model. The record is from RNAcentral.
GAGUUUGAUCAUGGCUCAGAGCGAACGCUGGCGGCAUGCUUAACACAUGCAAGUCGCACGGUCAGCAAUGGCAGUGGCGGACGGGUGAGUAACACGUAGGAAUCUAUCUCUGGGUGGGGGACAACAGUGGGAAACUACUGCUAAUACCGCAUGAUACCUGAGGGUCAAAGGCGUAAGUCGCCUGGAGAGGAGCCUGCGUCUGAUUAGCUUGUUGGUGGGGUAAAGGCCUACCAAGGCUACGAUCAGUAGCUGGUCUGAGAGGAUGAUCAGCCACAUUGGGACUGAGACACGGCCCAAACUCCUACGGGAGGCAGCAGUGGGGAAUAUUGGACAAUGGGCGAAAGCCUGAUCCAGCAAUGCCGCGUGUGUGAAGAAGGUCUUCGGAUUGUAAAGCACUUUUGGCAGGGACGAUGAUGACGGUACCUGCAGAAUAAGCCCCGGCUAACUUCGUGCCAGCCGCCGCGGU